This is a long non-coding RNA of Daphnia magna, 175 nucleotides long. RefSeq lists it as uncharacterized. The record is from RefSeq and is a predicted model, not a curated record. NCBI's taxonomy places the organism in Eukaryota, Metazoa, Arthropoda, Branchiopoda, Diplostraca, Daphniidae. The transcript is spliced from 2 exons.
GUUUAUUUUUACUUGUCAAUUUUUUUCGCGUCACUGGGGUGUUUUUUUGAAUUCUCUCGUCUAAAAAGAAGGAUUUAGAUUUUACACAAUGCCAAAUAGGUGUUGUGUCCCUUAUUGCAACUCAGGCUACAAUUACAGAAAUCCCGUCGUAGGAAAAAUAACUUGUUUCAAGCCU